RNAcentral lists this ribosomal RNA (253 nucleotides) under uncultured bacterium. RNAcentral's name for it is "partial 16S ribosomal RNA". It matches the Rfam family "Bacterial small subunit ribosomal RNA", at positions 524 to 776 of the family's 1533-position model. The record is from RNAcentral.
UACGAAGGGCCCAAGCGUUAUCCGGAUUUAUUGGGCUUAAAGGGUGCGUAGGCGGGUUAUUAAGUCAGUGGUGAAAGCCUUCAGCUCAACUGAAGAAUUGCCAUUGAUACUGAUGAUCUUGAGUAUGAUUGAGGUGGGCGGAAUGUGUCAUGUAGCGGUGAAAUGCUUAGAUAUGACACAGAACACCGAUUGCGAAGGCAGCUCACUAAGUCAUAACUGACGCUGAUGCACGAAAGCGUGGGGAGCAAACAGG